RNAcentral lists this ribosomal RNA (433 nucleotides) under uncultured bacterium. RNAcentral describes it as "partial 16S ribosomal RNA". It matches the Rfam family "Bacterial small subunit ribosomal RNA", at positions 29 to 507 of the family's 1533-position model. The record is from RNAcentral.
AACGAACGCUGGCAGCAUGCCUAACACAUGCAAGUCGAACGAGACCUUCGGGUCUAGUGGCGCACGGGUGCGUAACGCGUGGGAACCUGCCCUUAGGUUCGGAAUAACUCCCCGAAAGGGGUGCUAAUACCGGAUAAUGUCUUCGGACCAAAGAUUUAUCGCCUUUGGAUGGGCCCGCGUUGGAUUAGCUAGUUGGUAGGGUAAAAGCCUACCAAGGCGACGAUCCAUAGCUGGUCUGAGAGGAUGAUCAGCCACACUGGGACUGAGACACGGCCCAGACUACUACGGGAGGGAGGAGUGGGGAAUAGUGGAAAAUGGGGGAAAGCCUGAUCCAGCAAUGCCGGGUGAGUGAUGAAGGCCUUAGGGUUGUAAAGCUCUUUUACCCGGGAUGAUAAUGACAGUACCGGGAGAAUAAGCUCCGGCUAACUCCGUG